Molecule: transfer RNA, 72 nt
Filed under: Chloroflexota bacterium
Lineage: Bacteria; Bacillati; Chloroflexota
Description: Chloroflexi bacterium tRNA-Thr
Rfam family: tRNA
About the family: Transfer RNA (tRNA) molecules are approximately 80 nucleotides in length.
Source: RNAcentral
GCUGGCGAAGCUCAUUAGGAAGAGCAUCGGCGUUGUAACCCGAUGGUGUCGGUUCGAAUCCGACCGUCAGCU